AGGGAAACCGAGUCUUAACUGGGCGUUAAGUUGCAGGGUAUAGACCCGAAACCCGGUGAUCUAGCCAUGGGCAGGUUGAAGGUUGGGUAACACUAACUGGAGGACCGAACCGACUAAUGUUGAAAAAUUAGCGGAUGACUUGUGGCUGGGGGUGAAAGGCCAAUCAAACCGGGAGAUAGCUGGUUCUCCCCGAAAGCUAUUUAGGUAGCGCCUCGUGAAUUCAUCUUCGGGGGUAGAGCACUGUUUCGGCCAGGGGGUCAUCCCGACUUACCAACCCGAUGCAAACUGCGAAUACCGAAGAAUGUUAUCACGGGAGACACACGGCGGGUGCUAACGUCCGUCGUGAAGAGGGAAACAACCCAGACCGCCAGCUAAGGUCCCAAAGUCAUGGUUAAGUGGGAAACGAUGUGGGAAGGCACAGACAGCCAGGAUGUUGGCUUAGAAGCAGCCAUCAUUUAAAGAAAGCGUAAUAGCUCACUGGUCGAGUCGGCCUGCGCGGAAGAUGUAACGGGGCUAAACCAUGCACCGAAGCUGCGGCAGCGACACUCUGUGUUGUUGGGUAGGGGAGCGUUCUGUAAGCCGUUGAAGGUGUGCUGUGAGGCAUGCUGGAGGUAUCAGAAGUGCGAAUGCUGACAUAAGUAACGAUAAUGCGGGUGAAAAACCCGCACGCCGGAAGACCAAGGGUUCCUGUCCAACGUUAAUCGGGGCAGGGUGAGUCGACCCCUAAGGCGAGGCCGAAAGGCGUAGUCGAUGGGAAACAGGUUAAUAUUCCUGUACUUGGUGUUACUGCGAAGGGGGGACGGAGAAGGCUAUGUUAGCCGGGCGACGGUUGUCCCGGUUUAAGCAUGUAGGCGGAGCGUUUAGGUAAAUCCGGACGCUUAUUAACGCUGAGGUGUGAUGACGAGGCACUACGGUGCUGAAGUAACAAAUGCCCUGCUUCCAGGAAAAGCCUCUAAGCAUCAGGUAACAUCAAAUCGUACCCCAAACCGACACAGGUGGUCAGGUAGAGAAUACCAAGGCGCUUGAGAGAACUCGGGUGAAGGAACUAGGCAAAAUGGUGCCGUAACUUCGGGAGAAGGCACGCUGACACGUAGGUGAAGUGAUUUACUCA
Molecule: ribosomal RNA, 1111 nt
Filed under: Salmonella enterica
Lineage: Bacteria; Pseudomonadati; Pseudomonadota; Gammaproteobacteria; Enterobacterales; Enterobacteriaceae
Description: partial 23S ribosomal RNA
Rfam family: Bacterial large subunit ribosomal RNA
Source: RNAcentral